This 158-nucleotide small RNA is filed under the name Streptomyces alboflavus. RNAcentral's name for it is "c-di-AMP sequence". It matches the Rfam family "c-di-AMP riboswitch aptamer (ydaO/yuaA leader)". From Rfam's summary of the family: This family represents a conserved RNA structure found upstream of the ydaO and yuaA genes in Bacillus subtilis and related genes in other bacteria. The ydaO/yuaA element is thought to act as a genetic "off" switch for the ydaO and yuaA genes in its native state. The record is from RNAcentral. Lineage: Bacteria; Bacillati; Actinomycetota; Actinomycetes; Kitasatosporales; Streptomycetaceae.
GCGCGGCCUCCGCCGAGUCCGACGUGUUCGGAGCCGGGGACCCACCAUGUUCUUUGGGGUGAAUCCGCUCCGUACGGCGUACGGAGCGGUAGGGCAGCCUUCCGAAGCACCCGCCCGAACCCGACAGCUAACCCGGUAGGCGGUCCACGGAAGGAGUC